UUAAAGCACGGCCUGAUGGGAAGGAAGAGACUUCAGCAGCAUCUGAUGCCCCCGGACACACACACACACACACACACACACACACACACACACACACACACAAAAUGAUUGCAACAAUAACCCCUGUGUGUGCGUUGCCUCUCAUGUUGAGCCUGACUCUCAGUUUUCGCCCUCUCUCUCCUCUCUCUUUGCUCUCUUUGUCUCCAGCUCAGGUGAAUUGUAGCCAUGUGAUCAAACGCCCAAGCCUCUAUCCAUUAACCCUCGUAAAUGAAAAAAUGGGGAACAAAAAGCAGUUUUGUGCUGCAAACAUGGAAAAAGUUGAUAACAGAGAGCGAUGUGUGCGUCUUUCUCCCCUUAUGUCCGAGCAUAGACACCAGUCGCGCACACAUAGAAAAUACUCUGCGGCAGACGGGACACUUGGAUCUCGCUGGUUCUCCCGCUCCGACACUUUUAUAUCUGUAAAUACUCUCCACAGCAGCAGGAUUUGGGCCUCGGAGGUGCUGAUGGUAGGGAGCUGUGUUUGGGGAUGAAGGCGGUGAUGGGUUGGUGAGGGGGCAGCGGUGGGGGGGCACCUAUGCUGCACCCCACCGACCAACUAGCAACACUGGGAUCCUGCAUGAGGCCUCCGAGGCUUGUGAAAUAUGUAGCCAACUAGUUUAACAGGAAAUGAAACAACUCCUGGGUAUUCCACCUGUCACCCAAAGAACUAUCACCUGUUCAUUUCUUUAAGCUGAUUCAUUUCAUAUGUAUGGAUAAAAACAAAAACAAAAAAAUGGGAAAACAGCAAUCUGGUGUUUUGCUUGGAUUUGCAUUUUCAGACAUUGUCUGUGCCCUGUGUGAAACUAUCACGGGCCUCGGGCGAAGCUGUAACUUGUUAGAAAAUAGAGCUCACAUGGUUGUAUCAGUCCCUGUGUUAACCUGCCAUGUGACUGCAGUAAUGGGCCUCUCCAUGACUGCACAGACCAUUGGGUCACAAGAGCCCGUUUCCUGCGGCUUCUGGGGGAAAGGAUGGGAGGACGACAAGGUCUCAUGAUCAGCAGGGAGGUCAAAGAUCAUGAUCAGCAGGGGGGUCAAAGAGUCAGCCUUCAGGUGCACACUUAGUCAUGGGCAGCCGUCUUUCAUGUGUGAUCAGGAUGAAAUUGAGUAAAGGGAUGAGUUUGAAGUUUUUUUUCUGGAGAAUAUUUUGUUGCGGAUGUUUUCAGAUAAAAAAAUGGGGUGAUCAGAUGAUGGAAGGACAAGGAAUGUAGAAGAGGAAAGAAAGAGCGAACACCCUUUUGCUUUGGCCUUAAUACUCAAACAACUCCCAGGGGAAAUUCCUGAAAUCUGACGAUGGAUGGAGAGAAAAGGCAAGAGAGAAAGAGAAAAACAGAGCGAUGCAGAUAGAGUGAGAGAGAGAG
Molecule: long non-coding RNA, 1397 nt
Organism: Siniperca chuatsi (mandarin fish)
Lineage: Eukaryota; Metazoa; Chordata; Actinopteri; Centrarchiformes; Sinipercidae
Exons: 2
Source: RefSeq, a predicted model, not a curated record